RNAcentral lists this non-coding RNA (27 nucleotides) under Bombyx mori (domestic silkworm). The record is from RNAcentral. Lineage: Eukaryota; Metazoa; Arthropoda; Insecta; Lepidoptera; Bombycidae.
UGUUUCGGGUCGUUAUCCUGCUGAAAC